UACGAAGGGUGCAAACGUCGCUCGGAAUUAUUGGGCGUAAAGCGCACGUAGGCGGCUUAGCAAGUCGGAAGUGAAAUCCCUCGGCUCAACCAAGGAAGUGCUUUCGAAACUGCUGAGCUUGAGUACUUAAGAGGAUCGCGGAAUUCCCGGUGUAGAGGUGAAAUUCGUAGAUAUCGGGAGGAACACCAGUGGCGAAGGCGGCGAUCUGGGAAGAUACUGACGCUGAGGUGCGAAAGCGUGGGGAGCAAACAGG
This 253-nucleotide ribosomal RNA is filed under the name uncultured bacterium. RNAcentral's name for it is "partial 16S ribosomal RNA". It matches the Rfam family "Bacterial small subunit ribosomal RNA", at positions 524 to 776 of the family's 1533-position model. The record is from RNAcentral.